This 5963-nucleotide long non-coding RNA is filed under the name Brassica napus (rape). RNAcentral's name for it is "long non-coding RNA (BNAP_LNC021572)". Lineage: Eukaryota; Viridiplantae; Streptophyta; Magnoliopsida; Brassicales; Brassicaceae. The record is from RNAcentral.
CAGACAAGAUUUUCAGUUUUUAUUACCCAAGAAAGUGCAACCCUCACGAAAGUCUUUAUAAGUCCCAGAUUUAAUAUUUCAAACGUAAUAUAAGACACAAGAAGGUAUAUAGCAAAAGCAUCCAAAUUUGUAAAAUAAUCCUUGACAGGGAUAUAGCAAAAGCAUUCAAAUUUGUAAGAACCUAAACGAGCAAAUCAGUCACUUGGAGAAAAUAUUCCCAAAAAUAAAAUAAAAGAUGACUUAGUAGUACUGUACAAUCACACGUACCUUCCCUUUCUGCUAGGUAGUCCUGCAGACAACGAUAUGCCCACAUCAUCAUUCAACCACGGCCACCUCCUGAUCGACCUUCCAGUAGUUAGUGUCGUUGUACUCCUGCUGCAUAUUCUCAUCAGAGCUCUCCUUUCCCGGAGAAGCUGUGGUGCUGCUCCUCUUCAUUGGCCCUGCUUCUCCCACUAUCCCUUCCUUGAGAGCUUGAUCCAUUGCCCUCUCGGUUCCUUCUGGCUCCACGCCCACAAACUCGAUGUCUUUUUCAAACAAUGAAGGCACAGGCGGUGAUCUCGGGCUAAUCUCACCUUCUGAGGAUGAAGAACCGUUUGAGACUCUCACAUCAGGCAUCUUGACGUCAUCUUCAGGAAACGGAUCUUUGACCUGUGCAGUGGGAGAAGAAGCAUCUCCACGUUCAACCCUUUCGGGUGACGAAUCAUCCGAAACCACAUCUUCAUCGAUCUCGAUACCUCCAGGUAUGCUGUGUACAGAGACUGCUUCUGAGGUUGAAGCUGUGGCCACAAAAGGGUUCUUGCUUUCCGUAAUCAAACAGUCUUCUUCUUCAUCUCCAUUACCGGAAGUUUCAUCCAAGCUUACAUCUUCCAUUGCUUCCUCCGAAGGAAUCCCCCCUGCUCUUGUGUUCUCACCCAACUCAUCUCCUUGGAAAGUGAACCAGUUCGAGUUUGCGAAUAAAUUGCUGCACCAAGAACAAAUAAUCAUUCCAUUGGUUUUAGAAGCAACAAAACCAUUCAAUGUUGGUUUGAAUAAAUCAGAUGUGGAAGCUUACUUGGCCUGUUCAUCACCAAGCCUUAGAGAUGAUACAACAACUUCAGCAGACUCGUCAUCAAAGUAGACAUCCUACCAAAUAUGUCACAGUCAGGACUAUGUCAUGAGACACCAAAUAUAUUUACAACGAGUACCUCUUCGUCUCUGUCAUUGGAACCAUGCUCCUGGAACCAGAAAGAUGGGAUUUAGAUCCAGCCAAAAUGUUUUAAGAAAUACUAAUCAAUUUUUUUAACAAUUACCUCCUCAGCACCAUUAUUCUCUUGCAUGUUGUAUCUAGUAAACUGGUUCAAGUUAUUAGCCAAACCAGCAAGGUCAUAAUCCCUGUCGUGAACUUCCUCAUCGUCACUGUCCCUAGUCCUAUCAUGUAAUGCAGUUGGGCGUCUGCGUGCAGAAGUAGUAAAACGAUCGUUAUCAAGAGACACUAGCACGAGUAUAUCGUUACUUUUAAACCCAAAGGUGUUCAGACCAAGUUUCCAAUGAUAUCUCAAAACGCUGUGACAGCAAAAGGUUUGAGAAGAGACAUACCCACAAACCCAGCGAUAAACAUUCUCAACCGUGUUUCGGUCAUGUAAUGUAUUAGCUUCCCACUCGCCCCAUUCGUUAUGUUCCUAGAAAAGGAAAAAUGUAUGAGUUAGAAUGUUGCAUCUACCAACAGGAUGCAAAUAUUUGUACACAAAAUUUGAGGUAAGACAAUGCCUAAAUAUUACAAGGAAAAACAUAUAGUUAUACAUGGAUUACUUUAUUAUGGGACACAUUUUGAUGGGUUUCUCAGAAAGAAUCCAAGUAAUUUUCAAACAGAGUGGUCGAAUAAAUGCAAGCAAAUAUAUGUAUUCAGAGAACAUAUUAGCAAAGAUUAUUUAACUACACAAAUCAUUAUGUGUAAGAUAUAAGCAUAUAUACAUAUAUUCACAAAGACCAAUUAGCCCAGUUGUCUAACAUUGUUGUUGAAAAGCGAACCUCAAGUAAAGUCUUUAUCGAGUUACUGUUAGUUGACAGCUGAACAAGCUUGUUUGAAAUUCUUGAGAUAUGACCGAUAUUUCCUACCCGCGGAGCCUGCUUUCCAGCAGCAGGUAUCGUUGGCUGCAUGAAAGCAAAACUGAUUAAACCUGUAACUGAGGAUACUGUCAGAAAAGUGGAUAUAGCUGCCGGCCAUUUGGGUGUCUGAUAAAGAGUAACAAUAAAGAACACCAAGACAGAAUUUGUUCAACGUCUUGUCAUACGAAACUAGGAAAAUAUUAUUUAUAUACUCUCCCACCAUAUUUUCUGACUAGAUAUCAGAGAGCAUGCACAUCAAUAAGCAGGAGUCAGAGUUUCGUACCUGGUUAUCACCAGAAAGGAUUGGCUGUUUCUCUAUUUUAAGAAUUUUUCCAAUCAAGUCACACUCACGGAGAAGAUGGUCAAUCAUCUCCUCGUAUUUGCUCUCCAAACACGAUACUAGUAUACUCUCUACCUGAUGGUGCAGUGCAUUAUUAUAUGGGUACCUGCAUAGGUAAAAAGAAUCAUUAAAAGUAGGAUUUAGCCAAGCGAAGUUAAGACAUGUCAAGUACCAAACAAAGCAAGAGUUUUUUCUUAAUCCAGGAAGAAGUCUUUACUCGAAGAACAAAUCAAGGACUCGUCUAACAGCUCCUGAGGUAGCUAGUACUUUUCCUGUAGCUUCACUUCGGGUUUUCAGUAAGACAGCAAUGAACUCCACAAUCUAAGAAAAGCCAUCAGCAAAACCAAGGAAAUCAAUAAAUUAAUAAUAGAUCAGAGAACAUACGGAAUAACAUGUGUAAUUUCCAGGACCUGAUCCCGUGUCUAUCUUACAAUCAGAUCGUUUAUUUGACAAUAAAAAACAUUUAUGAAUGAAACCUAACCUUCAAACGCUGACUGCCAAGGGGAGGCCUCAACUGCCCAUAGCUUGUAGGUAACACCUUUUCAUCAGAUGUCACGUUCAAAAGUGCGACAAAGUCACCUACACCCGAGACAAAAACGCUUAAAGGAAUCUUCAUGUAAGGGGUUCACAUAAGAAGUUCUAGCAUAUAAAAAGUCUAGGAUUCAAAUUCUAUCAUAUAUGUUCAACACGAAUCAGAGCUUCAAUCUAUCAGGGUAGAAAGAACAAAGCAUAUACCCAGACACUACUAAUACGAAGGUGGAAUGGCAUCAAACGAACAACCAAAUAAUAAAACUAGAAGAUUUUCAUUGUCUUGCAAACACGUACUGUCACGUCGAACAGCAUAAGAAGUUACCAGAUGUUAAGAUGAACCAAGAAGAUAGAAUUGGAUUCUAGCAAUCACUAAAAAGUUAUGAUGAGAAAACAAACUAGCAGGAAAAACAAGAAUAGAGCCCAAUGAAUCAUCUGUGUGACACUAACCAAGUCUAGGCAGCAUGGUGGCAAUCGUCUCCGGAUUCACAGAAAUUGGAGACUCAAAGAUUUGUUGGCCCCUGAAUGAAUACAUAAAGGGAGAAGAAACCAAAGAUCUUCUUGGGCUUAACAGCGAAAUGCACACAGAGAGUGUGUGGACAAGGCUAGAUUUGGACUGAGGAUCUCCAAAAGCAUGACCAAAUAUCCUUGCAACAAAACUGCAGACAAAACGAUCACUGAGUUAUCUUGAAUACUAAGUAUUUUCUGCAAAUUUAAGAGGAUAAAACAUCUUGCAAACCUUGAGCUAGAGAGUUUCGUAGCUAAAGGUGAUGGUGCAUUUUGAGCAAUAGUGCAGAGUGUCAUUAAACAUUUAUUAAAGAGUUAAAAUACAUCUAUGCUAUAAGGUUAAAUAAACUAGACUUAGGGUUUAGAGUUAUGGGGUGGAGUUUUGUGGAUAUGAUUUCAAAGUUUGAAAAAUAAAAAAGAAAUAUUAAAAUUUUCAAAAUAAAAUGGGUUAUUUUGGUCAUUUCCUUAUUGAUGACUAUUUUGUGACAAAAACUUAAAAACGACUAUUUGAAAGAGUUGCCCUACAAAUUAAGAAAAUUUAAAUAAUAAGUAAAUAUAUAAUAUAAAAAAUGGAAAACUAUAUGAAACAUCUAUAUGAAAAAUGUAUAGUUUUCUGUUUUUUUCUAAAGAAAUUACUAUUCACACAAACAUACAAUUUAGAAUUUUAUUGUUGUUCAGAAUACAACGUCCAAAUGAAUAACUAUAUAGUUAACAUUUAAAAAUCAAAAUAGCCCCGCGCGUAGCGCAGGUUUACUCCUAGUUGAAUAUGAAAUCGACCAUUUGAAACUCUCACAAUAUAUCAAUGUCAUAACUCUUUAAUAUAGAAACAAUUAUUGUAAACAAGAAAAAUAUAUUUUACCACAUAUAAACCUUCUUCAUCUAAAACUUUCUUAAAGACAAAAAACAUUAUAUACACAUCUCUUGCAAAUGCAAACUUAAAACACAAACCACAAAAUCAUAUAAAAAAUAGUAACUUAAAUUGUAAGAAAAGUAUAUCACCCUAGUAAAAUAUAUAAACAAAAUUUAAGAUAGAAUAUUACAAACAUAUAUCCUAUUCAUGUUUUCAAAAAUAUUUUUAAUUCAUUGCUUUAAAAACUGAAUCAGUUUUAGUUACAUUUUUCAAAAACAAAAGGUAAAUCCAUAUUUGUUUGCUAAUUUCAACCUCAAAAGUCACACACAUAUAUUUGCAUGUAAAAUAAUUAUUCAAACCGGCUUAACCCAGCUUACUAAACCAGAAGUAUUGUUAAUCUAUUAUAUAUGAUUAAUACAAGGACAUAUCCUUCAGAACUGAUCCCCAUUUAGACGUCACUCAUUCCCGCCACUGCUUCACGGUCUCGAUCAAUAACAACAUUGUACACUUGUCCAGCUGCAGCUUUUGAGACGGGUCAUAGAAUGAGCAUAGGUUGUUUGCUUCGUAGUAGCUCUUUUAACAUUCAUAUAUUGUGUUUGUUGUAUUCCGUUUUAUCUCAAAUUAAUUUUUACACAUUCUUGUUUCCCUAUUUAGUUGCACGAAUCGGCCACCAUUGUUGUCAAAACCAUAUCCAGACAAGAUUUUCAGUUUUUAUUACCCAAGAAAGUGCAACCCUCACGAAAGUCUUUAUAAGUCCCAGAUUUAAUAUUUCAAACGUAAUAUAAGACACAAGAAGGUAUAUAGCAAAAGCAUCCAAAUUUGUAAAAUAAUCCUCGACAGGGAUAUAGCAAAAGCAUUCAAAUUUGUAAGAACCUAAACGAGCAAAUCAGUCACUUGGGAGAAAAUAUUCCCAAAAAUAAAAUAAAGAUGAUUUAGUAGUACUGUACAAUCACACGUACCUUCCCUUUCUGCUAGGUAGUCCUGCAGACAACGAUGUGCCCGCAUCAUCAUUCAACCACGGCCACCUCCUGAUCGAUCUUCCAGUAGUUAGUGUCGUUGUACUCCUGCUGCAUAUUCUCAUCAGAGCUCUCCUUUCCCGGAGAAGCUGUGGUGCUGCUCCUCUUCAUUGGCCCUGCUUCUCCCACUAUCCCUUCCUUGAGAGCUUGAUCCAUUGCCCUCUCGGUUCCUUCUGGCUCCACGCCCACGAACUCAACGUCUUUUUCAAACAAUGAAGGCACAGGCGGUGAUCUCGGGCUAAUCUCACCUUCUGAGGAUGAAGAACCGUUUGGGACUCUCACAUCAGGCAUCUUGACGUCAUCUUCAGGAAACGGAUCUUUGACCUGUGCAGUGGGAGAAGAAGCAUCUCCACGUUCAACCCUUUCGGGUGACGAUUCAUCCGAAACCACAUCUUCAUCGAUCUCGAUACCUCCAGGUAUGCUGUGUACAGAGACUGCUUCUGAGGUUGAAGCUAUGGCCACAAAAGGGUUCUUGCUUUCCGUAAUCAAACAGUCUUCUUCUUCAUCUCCAUUACCGGAAGUUUCAUCCAAGCUUACAUCUUCCAUUGCUUCCUCCGAAGGAAUCCCCCCUGCUCUUGUGUUCUCACCCAACUCAUCUCCUUGGAAAGUGAACCAGUUCGAGUUUGCGAAUAAAUUG